GCUUAACACAUGCAAGUCGAGGGGCAGCAUUUUAGUUUGCUUGCGAACUGAAGAUGGCGACCGGCGCACGGGUGAGUAACACGUAUCCAACCUGCCGAUAACUCCGGGAUAGCCUUUCGAAAGAAAGAUUAAUACCGGAUAGCAUACGAAUAUCGCAUGAUAUUUUUAUUAAAGAAUUUCGGUUAUCGAUGGGGAUGCGUUCCAUUAGUUUGUUGGCGGGGUAACGGCCCACCAAGACUACGAUGGAUAGGGGUUCUGAGAGGAGGGUCCCCCACAUUGGAACUGAGACACGGUCCAAACUCCUACGGGAGGCAGCAGUGAGGAAUAUUGGUCAAUGGGCGCGAGCCUGAACCAGCCAAGUAGCGUGAAGGAUGAAGGCUCUAUGGGUCGUAAACUUCUUUUAUAUGGGAAUAAAGUUUUCCACGUGUGGAAUUUUGUAUGUACCAUAUGAAUAAGGAUCGGCUAACUCCGUGCCAGCAGCCGCGGUAAUACGGAGGAUCCGAGCGUUAUCCGGAUUUAUUGGGUUUAAAGGGAGCGUAGGUGGAUUGUUAAGUCAGUUGUGAAAGUUUGCGGCUCAACCGUAAAAUUGCAGUUGAAACUGGCAGUCUUGAGUACAGUAGAGGUGGGCGGAAUUCGUGGUGUAGCGGUGAAAUGCUUAGAUAUCACGAAGAACUCCGAUUGCGAAGGCAGCUCACUAGACUGUCACUGACACUGAUGCUCGAAAGUGUGGGUAUCAAACAGGAUUAGAUACCCUGGUAGUCCACACAGUAAACGAUGAAUACUCGCUGUUUGCGAUAUACAGUAAGCGGCCAAGCGAAAGCAUUAAGUAUUCCACCUGGGGAGUACGCCGGCAACGGUGAAACUCAAAGGAAUUGACGGGGGCCCGCACAAGCGGAGGAACAUGUGGUUUAAUUCGAUGAUACGCGAGGAACCUUACCCGGGCUUAAAUUGCAACAGAAUAUAUUGGAAACAGUAUAGCCGUAAGGCUGUUGUGAAGGUGCUGCAUGGUUGUCGUCAGCUCGUGCCGUGAGGUGUCGGCUUAAGUGCCAUAACGAGCGCAACCCUUAUCUUUAGUUACUAACAGGUCAUGCUGAGGACUCUAGAGAGACUGCCGUCGUAAGAUGUGAGGAAGGUGGGGAUGACGUCAAAUCAGCACGGCCCUUACGUCCGGGGCUACACACGUGUUACAAUGGGGGGUACAGAAGGCGGCUACCUGGUGACAGGAUGCUAAUCCCAAAAACCUCUCUCAGUUCGGAUCGAAGUCUGCAACCCGACUUCGUGAAGCUGGGUUCGCUAGUAAUCGCGCAUCAGCCAUGGCGCGGUGAAUACGUUCCCGGGCCUUGUACACACCGCCCGUCAAGCCAUGAAAGCCGGGGGUACCUGAAGUACGUAACCGCAAGGAGCGUCCUAGGGUAAAACUGGUAAUUGGGGCUAA
RNAcentral lists this ribosomal RNA (1435 nucleotides) under uncultured organism. RNAcentral's name for it is "16S ribosomal RNA". It matches the Rfam family "Bacterial small subunit ribosomal RNA". The record is from RNAcentral.